UCAGCCUAAAUUAACAAUGGCGAAAUGCAGGCGAAAUGUGGAAAAUUUCCUAGAAGCUUGCAGAAAAAUUGGUGUACCUCAGGAGCAAUUAUGUUUGCCUCUCCACAUUUUAGAAGAGAAAGGUUUGAGCCAGGUUGCAGUGACGGUCCAGGCUCUCCUGGAACUUGCCCCACCCAAGCAACAGCAGCACCAGUUAUCUGCUGUUUGAGGAUCCCCAGGACGGUGGG
Molecule: small RNA, 227 nt
Filed under: Pan troglodytes (chimpanzee)
Lineage: Eukaryota; Metazoa; Chordata; Mammalia; Primates; Hominidae
Description: retained intron
Source: RNAcentral